GCAUUACUGAGGAGUCCCACAAUAGGACGAAACGGCCGUCCAGUAC
Non-coding RNA from Schistosoma margrebowiei, 46 nucleotides. NCBI's taxonomy places the organism in Eukaryota, Metazoa, Platyhelminthes, Trematoda, Strigeidida, Schistosomatidae. The record is from Rfam.